GAAAUGCGAUAAGUAGUGUGAAUUGCAGAAUUCAGUGAAUCAUCGAAUCUUUGAACGCACAUUGCGCCCCUUGGUAUUCCAUGGGGCAUGCCUGUUCGAGCGUCAUUUGUACCCUCAAGCUCUGCUUGGUGUUGGGUGUUUGUCCCGUCUCCGCGCGUGGACUCGCCCCAAAGUGAUUGGCAGCCGGCGUACUGGUCCCGGAGCGCAGCACAUGUCGCGCAAACGAGUGCCGUGGUACGGCGGCGUCCAUAAGCCCCUCUCUCACGCUCUUGACCUCGGAUCAGGUAGGGAUACCCGCUGAACUUAAGC
RNAcentral lists this unclassified non-coding RNA (309 nucleotides) under plant metagenome. RNAcentral describes it as "partial contains 5.8S ribosomal RNA, internal transcribed spacer 2, and large subunit ribosomal RNA". The stretch from base 1 to 105 matches the Rfam family "5.8S ribosomal RNA", at positions 50 to 154 of the family's 154-position model. The record is from RNAcentral.